UACGGGGGGAGCAAGCGUUGUUCGGAUUUACUGGGCGUAAAGGGCGCGUAGGCGGCGUGACAAGUCACUUGUGAAAUCUCCGGGCUUAACUCGGAACGGUCAAGUGAUACUGUCGGACUAGAGUACAGAAGGGGCAACUGGAAUUCUCGGUGUAGCGGUGAAAUGCGUAGAUAUCGAGAGGAACACCCCGUGGCUAAGGCGGUUCUCUAGUACGGUACUGACGCUGAGACGCGAAAGCGUGGGGAGCAAAACGG
RNAcentral lists this ribosomal RNA (254 nucleotides) under uncultured bacterium. RNAcentral describes it as "partial 16S ribosomal RNA". It matches the Rfam family "Bacterial small subunit ribosomal RNA", at positions 524 to 776 of the family's 1533-position model. The record is from RNAcentral.